UGAGCUAGAGUGUCGUACGGGUGCGUAGCACGUAUGCAACCUACCUUUUACAGGAGUAUAGCUCCCCGAAAGGGGAAUUAACCCUCCAUAAUAUCAUUGGAUGGCAUCAUUUGAUGAUUAAAACUGAGGUGGUAAAAGAUGGGCAUGCGUCUGAUUAGUUAGUUGGCAGUGUAACGGACUACCAAGACGAUGAUCAGUAGGGGACCUGAGAGGGUGAUCCCCCACACUGGCACUGAGAUACGGGCCAGACUCCUACGGGAGGCAGCAGUAGGGAAUAUUGGACAAUGGGUGAGAGCCUGAUCCAGCCAUGCCGCGUGCAGGAAGAAGGCGUUAUGCGUUGUAAACUGCUUUUGCCAGGGGAUAAAACGGUUCUGCGGAACUAAUUGAAGGUACCUGGUGAAUAAGCCACGGCUAACUACGUGCCAGCAGCCGCGGUAAUACGUAGGUGGCAAGCGUUGUCCGGAUUUAUUGGGUUUAAAGGGUGCGUAGGCGGCCCUGUAAGUCAGUGCUGAAAUAUCCCGGCUUAACCGGGAGGGUGGCAUUGAUACUGCAGGGCUUGAGUACAGAUGAGGUAGGCGGAAUUGACGGUGUAGCGGUGAAAUGCAUAGAUAUCGUCAAGAACACCGAUAGCGAAGGCAGCUUACCAAGCUGUAACUGACGCUGAGGCACGAAAGUGUGGGGAUCAAACAGGAUUAGAUACCCUGGUAGUCCACACUGUAAACGUUGAUGACUCGAUGUUGGCGAUAUACAGCCAGCGUCCAAGAGCAAUCGUUAAGUCAUCCA
This 783-nucleotide ribosomal RNA is filed under the name uncultured bacterium. Its description in RNAcentral is "bacterial SSU rRNA". It matches the Rfam family "Bacterial small subunit ribosomal RNA", at positions 86 to 871 of the family's 1533-position model. The record is from RNAcentral.